UGAACGCUGGCGGCAGGCCUAACACAUGCAAGUCGAGCGGUAGAGAGAAGCUUGCUUCUCUUGAGAGCGGCGGACGGGUGAGUAAUGCCUAGGAAUCUGCCUGGUAGUGGGGGAUAACGUUCGGAAACGGACGCUAAUACCGCAUACGUCCUACGGGAGAAAGCAGGGGACCUUCGGGCCUUGCGCUAUCAGAUGAGCCUAUGUCGGAUUAGCUGGUUGGUGAGGUAACGGCUCACCAAGGCGACGAUCCGUAGCUGGUCUGAGAGGAUGAUCAGCCACACUGGGACUGAGACACGGCCCAGACUCCUACGGGAGGCAGCAGUGGGGAAUAUUGGACAAUGGGGGCAACCCUGAUCCAGCCAUGCCGCGUGUGUGAAGAAGGUCUUCGGAUUGUAAAGCACUUUAAGUUGGGAGGAAGGGCAGUUACCUAAUACGUGAUUGUUUUGACGUUACCGACAGAAUAAGCACCGGCUAACUCU
Molecule: ribosomal RNA, 479 nt
Filed under: uncultured bacterium
Lineage: Bacteria
Description: bacterial SSU rRNA
Rfam family: Bacterial small subunit ribosomal RNA
Source: RNAcentral